GCAUGCUUUAUGUGAAGGCCCUGGAGAUUUUUCAAUGAUUUUGCUAUUUAUAAUAUGUUCUUUUUUUUUUUUCUUUCUUGAGACAGGUUCUCACUCUGCCUCCCAGGCUGGUGUGCAGUGGCGUGAUCAUGGCUCACUGCAGCCUUGACCUCCCAGGCUCAAGCAAUCUUCCCACCUUAGCCUCCCAAGUAGCUGGGACUGCAGGUGCACACCACCACACCUGGCUAAUUUUUUAAACCUUUUUAUAGGAUGGAAUCUCUCCAUAUUGUCCAGACUGGUCUUGAAUUUCUGGGCUCAAGUGAUCCUCCUGCCUCAGCCUCCCAAAGUCCUGGUAUUACAGGCAGUAUGUUUUUAUCUUCAGGGGAAAAACUGAUCAAACCAUUAUGAAAUAGUUGUGCAUUGUACCCCAGGAGAGAAUUCCACUGUCCUCCGUUCUGAUAUUAUUAGGUAGUGUAAUACAUAACCACAGCCUUUCAGUGUCAUUACUGGACAUGUUUCUCCUUUCCAAUGCCUGCCUGAAGCCUCUGCUAUAAGCUGCAGGCCACAGACUGCAUCUUCAACAAAGAAAAACAC
RNAcentral lists this long non-coding RNA (573 nucleotides) under Homo sapiens (human). RNAcentral describes it as "non-protein coding lnc-CPNE5-2:1". The record is from RNAcentral. Lineage: Eukaryota; Metazoa; Chordata; Mammalia; Primates; Hominidae.